Molecule: long non-coding RNA, 531 nt
Filed under: Carica papaya (papaya)
Lineage: Eukaryota; Viridiplantae; Streptophyta; Magnoliopsida; Brassicales; Caricaceae
Description: long non-coding RNA (CPAP_LNC006734)
Source: RNAcentral
UUCGCAUGCUAACCAAUCUAAUGGCCCAAAUUCACUCCUUCGCGCAUGAACGACCCAAAUUCGUUUCCCCUUCAAGCGUGAUCAAGCAGUCCUGAUGCAUUCGAUCGUGCGGUCUUGAUUCAUUUUCCAAAUAAGAUGGAUCUAACGACAGAGAUUAGGCCACGUAUCCUCGAAUGGACGACCCUAAUUAAUGGAGAAAGAGUAUUUAAACUCAUCCUCCAUCGAAAUCUUAACCUUAGCCGCAACCAGCUUGCUGGAGAAGAAGAAAAAGUGCGGUCAGAAGAGAAGCCGACCGCCGUCACUACCGCACCGGAACCCUCCCCGAUGCCGGAAUGUGAGGUUUUUCUUCCCUUUCGAUUUGCAUUUCGAUUUUAAGUCACUCCAAACACAUAUUGGCGCUGAAAAACUAAAAAAAAAAAGCCAGAAACAUAUGGUGGAGCUCGGUCGAGUCGUCGCACCCGCGACCCAAAACCCCACCGGUGAGCCUGAAUCCCCUUCCCCUUCCCUUCCAUUUUUUAACCAUUGAAUUCC